UAGGGAAUAUUGGACAAUGGGGGAAACCCUGAUCCAGCGAUGCCGCGUGUGUGAAGAAGGCCUGCGGGUUGUAAAGCACUUUAAGUUGGGAAGAAAAGCUUGCGGUUAAUACCCGUAAGUGUUGACGUUACCAACAGAAUAAGCACCGGCUAACUCUGUGCCAGCAGCCGCGGUAAUACAGAGGGUGCAAGCGUUAAUCGGAAUUACUGGGCGUAAAGCGUGCGUAGGUGGUUGGCUAAGUCUGAUGUGAAAUCCCCGAGCUUAACUUGGGAACUGCAUUAGAUACUGGUUGGCUAGAGUAGGAUAGAGGAAAGCGGAAUUCCAGGUGUAGCGGUGAAAUGCGUAGAUAUCUGGAGGAACACCGGUGGCGAAGGCGGCUUUCUGGAUUCAUACUGACGCUGAGGCACGAAAGCGUGGGGAGCAAACA
RNAcentral lists this ribosomal RNA (427 nucleotides) under uncultured bacterium. RNAcentral's name for it is "bacterial SSU rRNA". It matches the Rfam family "Bacterial small subunit ribosomal RNA", at positions 355 to 774 of the family's 1533-position model. The record is from RNAcentral.